Long non-coding RNA from Dermochelys coriacea (leatherback sea turtle), 214 nucleotides. RefSeq lists it as uncharacterized. Lineage: Eukaryota; Metazoa; Chordata; Testudines; Dermochelyidae. The transcript is spliced from 4 exons. The record is from RefSeq and is a predicted model, not a curated record.
CAAAGGUGAGAAAUAACAGACCUCAACCCUAUUGUCCCUCUGCAAAUUUGUGUACACAGAGUCAGUCCCUUACCUCUCUCUAAAAGUGCAAAGUUUCAUUAAGAUCAAUUAAUAGAAGCUUGUUGGGGACGGAAUAGAUCUGGACAAGGACAAGAAGUCUGGAAAUAAAUGUGAGAAAGGAGGGACAGGCACUUGUUUUGUUAAAAUAUUAUAU